This 230-nucleotide ribosomal RNA is filed under the name uncultured bacterium. Its description in RNAcentral is "partial 16S ribosomal RNA". It matches the Rfam family "Bacterial small subunit ribosomal RNA", at positions 336 to 558 of the family's 1533-position model. The record is from RNAcentral.
UUCCUACGGGAGGCAGCAGUAGGGAAUCUUCCACAAUGGACGAAAGUCUGAUGGAGCAACGCCGCGUGAGUGAAGAGGGGUUUCGGCUCGUAAAGCUCUUUUGGUAGUGAAGAAAGCUAGAGGGAGUAACUGGCCUUUAUUUGACGGUAAUUACUUAGAAAGUCACGGCUAACUACGUACCAGCAGCCGCGGGAAUACGUAGGUCGCAAGCGUUGUCCGGAUUUAUUGGG